This 168-nucleotide ribosomal RNA is filed under the name Phaseolus lunatus (lima bean). RNAcentral's name for it is "5.8S ribosomal RNA". It matches the Rfam family "5.8S ribosomal RNA". Rfam says of the family: 5.8S ribosomal RNA (5.8S rRNA) is a component of the large subunit of the eukaryotic ribosome. It is transcribed by RNA polymerase I as part of the 45S precursor that also contains 18S and 28S rRNA. RNAcentral also lists the same sequence under 2 other names. Lineage: Eukaryota; Viridiplantae; Streptophyta; Magnoliopsida; Fabales; Fabaceae. The record is from RNAcentral.
UAUGUAAAAUGACUCUCGGCAACGGAUAUCUCGGCUCUUGCAUCGAUGAAGAACGUAGCGAAAUGCGAUACUUGGUGUGAAUUGCAGAAUCCCGUGAACCAUCGAGUCUUUGAACGCAAGUUGCGCCCAAAGCCAUUAGGCUGAGGGCACGCCUGCCUGGGUGUCACA